CGCUUGGUAUUGAUGGCGGUUUACCGCUUGAGACUAGUUCCGUUUGGAAUGGUGUCAACAUUUUGUAGAAGUUGUCAUUCAAGGUAUUUUUCACCAUAUGGAGCAAGAUAUUCGUCUUUGGAACAUCUAAGAUCUGUUUCUCAAAAAAUCCCUUUUAUUUGUCUGAUAGAUCUGAUUAUUCAGUCAAAAUGCGUUUAAUAUGCUUACGAUAAUCCGGGGUAUAAAGCAGGGUUAUGCAAAGUAGAAAAAAGUUUACAGUAAUUACAAAUAUUUCUAACACAUUACUACUGGUUGGGGUGUCCUACAAAAUGCUGAACUCAAAAGGCUGAAAUCUCAAAAGACUGAAAAUCUCACAAGGCUGAAAGUAUCAAAAGGCUGUAAAGUAUCAGGUGGAAUGUAUCGAAAGGCUGAAAUUAAUGGUAUGCAAUGAAUCUCAACCGUACGAUGGAGUACAAAGUGAGUGCUGAACAAUGAAUAGAAAAUAAAGGAUAGAGAAUAAGGAAUAAAAAAAGAAAAAUAAGAAAAAAGAAGUAAGAAGGAAGGAGCAAGACGGAUGAAGGUAGAAGGAAUGAGGGAAAAGGGAGAAAUCAGAAGAAAAAAGGAACAAGGAAGAAGGAAAAAGGGAAGAAUGAAAGGGAAAGAAUGGACAAGGAAGAAGCAAGAAGGAUGAAGGACGACGUAAAAAGAAAAAAAGGAAGAAAAAGGGAAGAUAGGAGAAAGAAGAAGGAAAAACGAGGAAGAAAGAUGUAAGAAAGAAUAAUAAAGAAAGAAGUGUGAUGUACUAUCACUAAGAUGAUAAUAAUAAUUAUUUAAACAAUAUGUUACCGUAUCCGUAUAAGGGGCUUCUUUAUCGAAUUGGAUGCUGGGUCAUUAGGCCGAAUGGUCAUUAGGCCGAAUGGUCAUUAGGCCGAACGGUCAUUAGGCUUAAUAGCCAUUAGGCCGAAUGAGAAUUGGGGUGUGAGAAGGAAGAAAGAAAAAGGAAAAGGGAGGAAGAUGUAUGAAGGAAGAAAGAAGAAGUAUGAAGGAAGAAAGAAGAAGUAUGAAGGAAGAAAGAAGAAGUAUGAAGGAAGAAAGAAGAAGUAUAAAGGAAGAAAGAAGAAGUAUGAAGGAAAAAAAAAGAAAGAAGAAGGAAGAAGGGAGAAGGGAGAAGGAAGAAGUAAGAAGGAAGAAGGAAAAUGGAAGAAGAAAGAAGGAAGAAGAAAGAAAGAAGAUGGAAGAUGGAAGAAGGGAGAAAAAAGAAGGAAGAUGGAACAAGGAAGAAGGAAGAAGGAAUAAGAAAGAAGAAAGAAGGAAGAAGGAAGAAAGAAGAAAAACGAAAAGAAGGAGGAAGAAGGAAAGAAGGAAAGCGGAAGAAGGAAAAAGAAAAAAGGAAGUAAGAAGAAGAAAGAAGGAAGAAGAUAUAAGAAAGUAAAAGGAGAAAGAAGAAGAAAGAAUGAAGAAGGAAGAAGAAAGCUUAGCUUAGCUUAGCUUAGCUAGCUUAGCUUAGCUUAGCUUAGCUUUGACUGACUACACAUAUCUAUGGUUGCUGCUCCGUGAGAAUGAAGAAGGAAGAAGAAAGAUGGAAAAAGAAAAAAAAGGAAGAAGGAAAAAGAAAGAAGGAAGAAAGAAGAAGGAAGAAGGAAUAAGGAAGAAGGAAGAAAGAAGGAAGAAAGAAGAAGGAAGAAAAAAGAAAGAAGGGAGACGAGAGAAAGAAGAAAGAAGAAAAAAAAAGAAAAAGGGAUAAGAAAGAAGGAAGAAGGAAAAAAGAAACAGGAAGAAGGAAGAAGGAACAAGAAAGAAGGAAGAAGGAAGAAGGAAG
Long non-coding RNA from Armigeres subalbatus, 1798 nucleotides. RefSeq lists it as uncharacterized. NCBI's taxonomy places the organism in Eukaryota, Metazoa, Arthropoda, Insecta, Diptera, Culicidae. The record is from RefSeq and is a predicted model, not a curated record. The transcript is spliced from 2 exons.